RNAcentral lists this ribosomal RNA (402 nucleotides) under uncultured bacterium. RNAcentral describes it as "bacterial SSU rRNA". It matches the Rfam family "Bacterial small subunit ribosomal RNA", at positions 356 to 775 of the family's 1533-position model. The record is from RNAcentral.
CGGGAAUUUUGGGCAAUGGGCGAAAGCCUGACCCAGCAACGCCGCGUGAGGGAUGAAGUAUUUCGGUAUGUAAACCUCGAAAGAAUGGGAAGAAUAAAUGACGGUACCAUUUAUAAGCUCCGGCUAACUACGCGCCAGCAGCCGCGGUAAUACGGAGGGUGCAAGCGUUAUCCGGAUUCACUGGGUUUAAAGGGUGCGUAGGUGGGUAUGUAAGUCAGUGGUGAAAUCCCCGAGCUUAACUUGGGAACUGCCAUUGAUACUAUAUAUCUUGAAUACCGUAGAGGUAAGCGGAAUAUGUCAUGUAGCGGUGAAAUGCUUAGAUAUGACAUGGAACACCAAUUGCGAAGGCAGCUUACUAUGCGGUGAUUGACACUGAGGCACGGAAGCGUGGGUAGCAAACAG